Molecule: small RNA, 1245 nt
Filed under: Histoplasma capsulatum var. duboisii H88
Lineage: Eukaryota; Fungi; Ascomycota; Eurotiomycetes; Onygenales; Ajellomycetaceae
Description: Histoplasma capsulatum H88 hypothetical RNA
Source: RNAcentral
GUGGCUUUUUCACUCAGAAUUGUGCCAUUCUCUGAUGAGUGUUGGCUUCUUAUGGACUUUCAAUUUUGUGGCCUUCUCUACUGAGGUUAUGGCGGCCCUCAAGGGAUUUUACUAUGAUGGCUACUGCCAAAUGUGUUCGAUUGGCCAUGACUUUGAUGUAGCUUCUUGGGGCAUAUAAUUGGGCCUUCUUCAGAAUCCAUGGCAUCAUGGAUUUGAGUGUGGCUCUCUUCAGAGUUGAAGAGAAAUAAGACCUCUUUUAGAUUAAAAAUAUCAGAAUUUAUAAAAUGCCCCAAGAAUUGUGAAUGCUUAAGAGAGACCACACCUUUUCCUCCAAAUGCCAUGAUUCUUGCAUUUACGUCUGGGGCAUUUUUAGUUCCUCAGGAAUAUAUUUUUACUAGGCGAGAUCUUAGAACACUCCCUGAGGAGAGCCACACUUAAAAUCUAUAAUGCUAUCUUGAGGACGUCUGAGGCAUUUUUAGAACCUAGGGGAGAUUUUAUUCCUAGAGGCACUCUUCAACCCUGGGGAGAGCCACAUUAAAUCCAUAAUGCCAUGAUUCUUGGGGACGUCAUCUGGGGUGUUUUUAGUUCUCGGGGCAUUUUUAGAACCUAGGGGAGAUCUUAUUCCUAGGAACACUCUUCAACCCUGGGGAGAGCCACGCUCAAAUUCAAAAUGCUAUGAUUCUUGAGGAUGUUGUCUGGGGCAUUUUUAGUUCUCGGGGUAUAUUUUUAACCUAGGGGAGAUCUUAUUCCUAGGGGCACUCUUCAACCCUGGGGAGAGCCACGCUCAAAUUCAAAAUGCUAUGAUUUUUUGGAGGAUCGUCUGGGGCAUUUUUAGUUCUCGGGGUAUAUUUUUAACCUAGGGGAGAUCUUAUUCCUAGGGGCACUCUUCAACCCUGGGGAGAGCCACGCUCAAAUUCAAAAUGCCAUGAUUCUUGAGGACAUUGUCUGGGGCAUUUUUAGUUCUCGGGGAGACCGUAUUCCUAGAGGCACUCUUCAACCCUGGGGAGAGCCACGCUUAAAUUCAUAUGCCAUGAUUCUUGAACAUUUAUCCUGGGGCAUUUUCAGAACCUAGGAACACUCUUCAACCCUGAGGAGAGCCACACUUAAUCCAUAAUGCCAUGAUUCUUGUGGUCUUUCACCUCAAGGUUUGUCCUGUGAUGUGAAAAUGAAUUUAUAAGUGAAUAGACUGUAGAUUCAGUGGCUGUAUCAUGUGCAUGUGGAAGCAAUUAAUAAAAUUUAGACCGG